GUCUAUAGCCAUGCCACCCUGAACAUGCUGAGACCAUCUGAUCUCGGAAGCUAAGCAAGGUCGGGCCUUGUUAGUACUGGGAUGGGAGAUCACCUAGGACAACCACGUGCUGUGGACA
Molecule: ribosomal RNA, 118 nt
Filed under: Pteropus alecto (black flying fox)
Lineage: Eukaryota; Metazoa; Chordata; Mammalia; Chiroptera; Pteropodidae
Source: RNAcentral